GACGAACGCUGGCGGCGUGCUUAACACAUGCAAGUCGAACGGACAGGCCCUGUUUUUGUGCGGUGGUCGAGUGGCGACCGGGGGAGUAACCCGUGAGUAACCUGCACCUAUCUUAGGGAUAUCUUAAGGCAAAUGGGGCUCUUACCGGAUAGGAGCUACUGCUGCAUGGUGGGGGUUGGAAAGUUUCGGCGUUUGGGGAUGGAAUGGCGGCUUAUCAGCCUGUUGGUGGGGUAGUGGCUUAACCAGGCUUUGAAGGGUAGCCGGCCUGAGAGGAGGAACGGCGACAUUACUCCUGAGAUACGGCGCAGACGCCAACUGGAGGCAGCGGUGGGGAAUAUGACACAAGGAGCGGACGCCGGAUGCAGCAACGCCAGGAUCGGGAUGACGGCCUACGGGUUGUAAACCGCUGUCGCCUGUGACGAAGCGUGAGUGACGGUAACGGGUAAAGAAGCACCGGCUAACUACGUG
This 468-nucleotide ribosomal RNA is filed under the name uncultured bacterium. RNAcentral describes it as "partial 16S ribosomal RNA". It matches the Rfam family "Bacterial small subunit ribosomal RNA", at positions 28 to 507 of the family's 1533-position model. The record is from RNAcentral.